RNAcentral lists this transfer RNA (73 nucleotides) under Ostreobium quekettii. Its description in RNAcentral is "tRNA-Ala". It matches the Rfam family "tRNA". From Rfam's summary of the family: Transfer RNA (tRNA) molecules are approximately 80 nucleotides in length. Their secondary structure includes four short double-helical elements and three loops (D, anti-codon, and T loops). Lineage: Eukaryota; Viridiplantae; Chlorophyta; Ulvophyceae; Bryopsidales; Ostreobiaceae. The record is from RNAcentral.
GGGGACCUAGUUCAAUUGGUAGAACGCAUGCUUUGCACGCAUGAAGCUACCGGUUCGAGUCCGGUGGUCUCCA